RNAcentral lists this ribosomal RNA (846 nucleotides) under Ramularia cynarae. Its description in RNAcentral is "LSU rRNA". It matches the Rfam family "Eukaryotic large subunit ribosomal RNA", at positions 68 to 945 of the family's 3401-position model. The record is from RNAcentral. Lineage: Eukaryota; Fungi; Ascomycota; Dothideomycetes; Mycosphaerellales; Mycosphaerellaceae.
ACAGGGAUUGCCCUAGUAACGGCGAGUGAAGCGGCAACAGCUCAAAUUUGAAAUCUGGCGCAAGCCCGAGUUGUAAUUUGUAGAGGAUGCUUCUAGGUAGCGACCGGUCUAAGUUCCUUGGAACAGGACGUCAUAGAGGGUGAGAAUCCCGUAUGUGACCGGCCCGCACCUUCUACGUAGCUCCUUCGACGAGUCGAGUUGUUUGGGAAUGCAGCUCUAAAUGGGAGGUAAAUUUCUUCUAAAGCUAAAUACCGGCCAGAGACCGAUAGCGCACAAGUAGAGUGAUCGAAAGAUGAAAAGCACUUUGGAAAGAGAGUUAAAAAGCACGUGAAAUUGUUGAAAGGGAAGCGCUCACAACCAGACUUCUGGGCGGUGUUCCGCCGGUCUUCUGACCGGUCUACUCGCCGUCCCGAGGCCAACAUCAUCUGGGACCGCUGGAUAAGACCUCAGGAAUGUAGCUUCCCUCGGGAAGUGUUAUAGCCUGUGGUGAUGCAGCGCGUCUCGGGUGAGGUCCGCGCUUCGGCAAGGAUGUUGGCGUAAUGGUUGUCAGCGGCCCGUCUUGAAACACGGACCAAGGAGUCUAACAUCUAUGCGAGUGUUCGGGUGUCAAACCCCUACGCGUAAUGAAAGUGAACGGAGGUGGGAAGCGCAAGCUGCACCAUCGACCGAUCCUGAUGUCCUCGGAUGGAUUUGAGUAAGAGCAUAGCUGUUGGGACCCGAAAGAUGGUGAACUAUGCCUGAAUAGGGUGAAGCCAGAGGAAACUCUGGUGGAGGCUCGCAGCGGUUCUGACGUGCAAAUCGAUCGUCAAAUUUGGGUAUAGGGGCGAAAGACUAAUCGAACCAUCU